RNAcentral lists this ribosomal RNA (194 nucleotides) under uncultured eukaryote. RNAcentral describes it as "partial 18S ribosomal RNA". It matches the Rfam family "Eukaryotic small subunit ribosomal RNA", at positions 1 to 191 of the family's 1831-position model. The record is from RNAcentral.
GCAACCUGGUUGAUCCUGCCAGUAGUCAUAUGCUUGUCUCAAAGAUUAAGCCAUGCAUGUCUAAGUAUAAACAACUUUAUACUGUGAAACUGCGUACAGCUCAUUAUAUCAGUAAUAAUUUCUUUGAUGGUACCUUACUACAUGGAUAACCGUAGUAAUUCUAGAGCUAAUACAUGCGUAAAGUCCUGACUCUC